UACAGAGGUCUCGAGCGUUGCGCGGAUUCAUUGGGCUUAAAGCGUGCGUAGGCGGGCCCGUAAGUGCCUUGUGAAAUCCCAUGGCUCAACCAUGGAAUUGCUCGGUAGACUACGGGUCUUGAGGUCGGUAGGGGUCGCCGGAACUCUAGGUGGAGCGGUGAAAUGCGUAGAUAUCUAGAGGAACGCCAAAGGUGAAGACAGGCGACUGGGCCGAUUCUGACGCUGAGGCACGAAAGCGUGGGGAGCGAACGGG
RNAcentral lists this ribosomal RNA (253 nucleotides) under uncultured bacterium. RNAcentral's name for it is "partial 16S ribosomal RNA". It matches the Rfam family "Bacterial small subunit ribosomal RNA", at positions 524 to 776 of the family's 1533-position model. The record is from RNAcentral.